GCAUGAAUGGUGUAGCGGUAACAUUCAACCCUUCCAUUGCAGAUGCGAGGUUGAGCUCGGGGUUCGACUCCCCGUUCAUGCA
This 82-nucleotide transfer RNA is filed under the name Hypoxylon sp. EC38. RNAcentral describes it as "tRNA-Gly". It matches the Rfam family "tRNA". Rfam says of the family: Transfer RNA (tRNA) molecules are approximately 80 nucleotides in length. The record is from RNAcentral. Lineage: Eukaryota; Fungi; Ascomycota; Sordariomycetes; Xylariales; Hypoxylaceae.